This 67-nucleotide transfer RNA is filed under the name Salmonella enterica subsp. enterica serovar Senftenberg str. A4-543. RNAcentral's name for it is "partial tRNA-Ala". It matches the Rfam family "tRNA". From Rfam's summary of the family: Transfer RNA (tRNA) molecules are approximately 80 nucleotides in length. Their secondary structure includes four short double-helical elements and three loops (D, anti-codon, and T loops). Further hydrogen bonds mediate the characteristic L-shaped molecular structure. tRNAs have two regions of fundamental functional importance: the anti-codon, which is responsible for specific mRNA codon recognition, and the 3' end, to which the tRNAs corresponding amino acid is attached (by aminoacyl-tRNA synthetases). tRNAs cope with the degeneracy of the genetic code in two manners: having more than one tRNA (with a specific anti-codon) for a particular amino acid; and 'wobble' base-pairing, i.e. permitting non-standard base-pairing at the 3rd anti-codon position. The record is from RNAcentral. Lineage: Bacteria; Pseudomonadati; Pseudomonadota; Gammaproteobacteria; Enterobacterales; Enterobacteriaceae.
UAUCAGCUGGGAGAGCGCUUGCAUGGCAUGCAAGAGGUCAGCGGUUCGAUCCCGCUUAGCUCCACCA